AGUGCCUAAGCAACUUAGCAACUGAACCAGUUCUGGGAAGCUGUGUCCCCAGCACUGGUAUGUGCCUCUGCUGGGCACUGGGCACCCAAGUGGGAACUGUUUUCCUUCAUAUGCAAGGCUCUUCUCAUGGGGGUGGGAGGGUAAGGCUGCUCUUCUGGAGUAUAAUCUCUGAAGGUAUCUAGCCAUGCCAAGCCCAGGAAAUCAGGUCCCUGGGAUGCUAUGCAGCUUCUGACCCUUCUGAUGGCAGAUUCCUGCCUGUGUAGACCUUCACUCAGUUGGGUGGUGUCUCAGGUAGCGAGUGUUUCACCUUGCUAAUAUGGGGUGGAUGAAUAAACAAAUUGAAGAAAAUGAGCGGACUCAGCUCUGAUCUAGACUGUUCUAUAGGCAUGAUAUACAAUAGAAUUACAGGUGAGGAAACCAGUAAAUGUUUGAAACUGCAGUUUUAAUGCUUAGUAAUCUCUUCUAAACCGGAGCUUAAUUGAAGAUGCUACCUUUGUUGAGCAUAACAUCUCCUGCUCUUUCUAGUCUCAAUGCAGAUGUUCAUGAUGCUCUUGGACAACGAAACCUCAUCAAUGGUGAACAAAUGUGUUGACUUUCUCUUUUUGCCUCUAUCUACAAUUAAUUAAUUGCACUCCCUAGAAAAUGGA
This 647-nucleotide long non-coding RNA is filed under the name Marmota monax (woodchuck). Lineage: Eukaryota; Metazoa; Chordata; Mammalia; Rodentia; Sciuridae. The record is from RNAcentral.